AUAGAUCUGGGUUUUAUUUGACUAUUGGAACUGGAAGAAUGAGGUACCUCCGCCAUGUUCCUCGAAGAUUCAAGAGCGGCUUCAGAGAGGGUACUCAAGCAGCACCAAGGAAGAAGGGAGCGGCUGCUACUGCU
Juglans regia (Persian walnut) is the source of this 134-nucleotide long non-coding RNA. RefSeq lists it as uncharacterized. The record is from RefSeq and is a predicted model, not a curated record. The transcript is spliced from 2 exons. Lineage: Eukaryota; Viridiplantae; Streptophyta; Magnoliopsida; Fagales; Juglandaceae.